GCCAGGCGUGGUGGCGCGCGCCUGUAAUCCCAGCUACUCAGGAGGCUGAGGCAGGGGAAUCGUUUGAACCCAGGAGGCAGAGGUUGCAGUGAGCUGAGAUCUUGCCACUACACUCCAGCCUGGGCUACAGAGCAAGACUCCGUCUCAA
Non-coding RNA from Gorilla gorilla gorilla (western lowland gorilla), 148 nucleotides. It matches the Rfam family "Metazoan signal recognition particle RNA". Rfam says of the family: The signal recognition particle (SRP) is a universally conserved ribonucleoprotein. It is involved in the co-translational targeting of proteins to membranes. The eukaryotic SRP consists of a 300-nucleotide 7S RNA and six proteins: SRPs 72, 68, 54, 19, 14, and 9. The record is from Rfam. Lineage: Eukaryota; Metazoa; Chordata; Mammalia; Primates; Hominidae.